UGCUGCAGGUGGCAUUUUAAAUUUCUAUCUCCUGCCAGGUUCUGCAGUCAUUACAUUAAGCAUGUUUCAUGGACGUCGUUUAAGCUUGCAAAAUUCAAGGGGUACAAGGAUCCAGCUGUUUGUAAAAACAUGGGGAUCCAGCUGCAAAUUAUCCAAGAUGGGCUGUUCUGAUUCUGUGGUUAUAAUGUGACCUACAGUAAUUUCUGGCAAUGAAGUUCUGAAUGUCAACAGACUUCAGAAAUAAUAGUUACAGAAACUGAAGGUCUGUAUUUGGUCUUGCGGUUGGGACUUUCCGGUAUCUGUGGAAUCCACUUAGCUUGAAGAUGUUGUAAGGAAGGUAAACAUCUUAAAACUGAAGAGACCGUAUUUCCUAUUUUCCACCUGAAUGGGUGGACUACCUUUGUUACCUAAAAAUGGCUGGGACAGUCAUUUUCCAUUAGGAGGUCAUGUUUCUUGUAAAGAAGAAAUUCUUCCCAUAUUAUAAAUAUGGUGCAGAAGGAACAGCAUUUAAUACUGCUUUGGAAGAUACAGUCAGUGCAGAAAACAGAAACUGUGGAAAUGGAACAGAACUUCGGAAAAGUAGGAUCAAAAGUAUAAUGGGAAAUGAGAUUGGCGCCUUCUUUCUUUAUCUGCUCAUCGCGUUCUGGUGUGAUUCCCAUCUAAGCAAGAAAACCUCCAGCAUUACAAAAAUGCCAUGCUAUUACUUUCAGGUGCUAAGUGCAGCUGGAAGUCCUCUAGCGGUCUGAAACAGUUGUGGUUAUCUUCUGUUAGUUAUAUUUUCUCUAUUCAAAGAUGUUAAAGGGAGUCCUGUCCUGCUUGUGUAUGCAAUAGUUGUUUUGUCCAGCGUCCAGCAAAGCAUUGGCUUUUAUAAGUGACUGUUACAGCUAGGGAGCAAUUCUAACACGUCAAAAGGAUCUUCUAAGCAAAAAUUCACUGAUCAUGCAGAUGAACCUGAAAUAUCUGCUUCCUUGAAAGACUUGGCCACUUUUGGCAUCCAUAGGGCUUAGGUAGAAUUGUCCAGGUGAGAGCUGCUGCACGAAGAAAAUAAUUUUGUGGUGGAGGAGCCACCAGCCACCACCAGCUGAUAGGACUGCUAUAUCCUCUCUGCUGGAAUCAGAUCACAGUGUUACUGGACUGGGGAUCUGAAAUAAGUCUGCUCCUUGGUGUUAAAAAAAAACUAGAUCUGAAGGGAAAGAAAAAUUGUACUAUACAAAUUCAAAUGGCUGGUUAUUAAUUACUGGCAAGUACAAAGAAUAGAAAAACAAUUCCUGUUGAACUUGGGUCUGUAUUCAGUGAAUGGUCAUAUGCUGCAAUGACUGCUAUUUCUAAUGAUAUUGCAUGAGGAGUGCUUUUCCAUCACAGGUGCCACAGGUAUGUUGCUAAACAUUAUUUAGAUGCUGAUUACUGGUAGGAGCAAUAUGGACUGCUGGGAAUGAGGGAGAAGGUGGAUAGCUUUUAGGACCUUGGUGAUUUCUCAGCCACCCUCACAUCACAACAAAGAUGAUAUUUUCCAUGUGAUAAUUUAAAAGCAAGUACCAUUUAACCAGGCUGUCCAGCAAAAAAGUAUAUGUAAAGCUGAAGAACUAUAGCCACUAACCUUUUUGAAGCAGCAAAUACCCUGUCAGGACUGCUGUUCAGAGAAACUGCAUUUCACGCUGUGAAACAGGGUGAAUUCUGGAAAAGAGUAACUGCUAUGAAUGACCAAGAAGUGCAGAUAUCAGAAAAAAUAGACUAUGGGGAAAAUGGACAAUGUAGUUGGUGUCUCAAACCCUCUCACAAGGCUGAAGGUCAAGAGCUGUAAAGAAGCCCAGUCAGUAAAGGAGGUUAGCUUGACAGAAGCACCCAUAGAUGGUAAUGAAAGGAAGCAAUUAGAACAGCUGCUCCUAUGGUAUGCGAGUGUAUUUUCCAAGAAUAACGAAAGAGUUUGGAUCACGGGAUUGAGCGCAAUACUGCUUUAUGCUUAAACUGUAGAACGCUCCUGGGAAGCAGUCUUUAUGUUGGCUGCCCUACCAACCAGGGGCUGGGUAGAAAUGUUAUAUUACAAGCUGGGAAAUGGUCUGACUAUGCAUCCUAUGGCACUGCUUGCAUCCUUUGUUGUCCAGGCAGUUCUGUGUUAGUGGGAGUUUUUGAAUUUUUGCUAUUGAUACAGUUACUCAAACUGCCUUAACUUGGAGCUUGGAGCUCCUGCCUUGCUAGGAACUUAUUAGACAGAUGCAGUGGCACGGAGAGCAGCUGUCCUGCUUGCAGGAUCACUUUUGGCCCUGAGGCAGUUCAGCUAUGUUUGUGCUGUGCCCACUCGAGCGAAUAAACCCUGAGCUGGCUGCAGGCCCGAGCUUCCCAGGCACUGCUUCCCAUCGCAGGGACCUCUGGGGAGAAUGAUUUAAGGACUACUGAGGCAUACACCAAACCCACUCCUCUGCAGCCAGUGCUAAUAACCCUGCCCACACCUAGCUGAUGCCUGCAGAGCUGGAGAGGGCUGCAGUAACACACUCUAAGCACUCUGGGCUUGCCUUGGGUGCACUACCAGACCGUAGCGGGCUACACGCAUGCGAGCGUUGCUAGAGGAACUGGCUUCAGCUCCAUGCUGGCUGUGCUGAGCUCUGCCAGCUCCGCAAGCUGCCUGGGUGUCUACACAGCGCAUUGAUUUUUCCCUCCUUCUUCUACCCAGGCAUAUACUACCUUGGUUUUUCAUUCUUCUGAGCAGUCUCUCUUUUUCUCAGAUAAAGUUUAUUUUAAAUAUGUAAAAUCUCAGAGGAAGUUUGAUGAUAUGUGCUGACUACCGGAAGUUAAAUUUCCAGCCUAUUCAGUUUAGGUACCUCCUUCUCUAUAUGAUAGACAGCCUAUAUAAAAUUUAAGGGAAAAUGGCAAGGUUUUUUGUUCACUUGCUUGUUUUUUUAAAAAAAUUUUUUAUUUUGUUGCAGUCUGGAUUCUGUUAGGUUCAGCUGAGUCUGAGAAUUUAAAACUCUAGCUUUUGUGUCAUCCUCUGGAUUACUGUAACUCUUCUGAAAUAAAUACAAGAACUGGUGGUUUCCCACUACAGUGUGUAAUAUCCCACCUGUGUGGGGCUGCCUCACCUGUGUGGGCUAACGUGUUUGGAGUUUGGAAGAUCUUUGUAUGCUUUGUGUGAAUUUGACAUAUUUCUCUAAAAUGUGGAAGAAAUGGCUAAUAUUAGAAGAAAAGUUUGCAAAGCUUUUAAGAGAGCCGGAUUCUAACUCUGGAGUGUAAAGCCUGUCAGCUUUCACUGAUACUCCUUGGGCAGCAAAGAUCACUGGGGCAAAUCUCCACUGCUUUCCAGGCCCAGGAUCCUCGCAUCACUGUUUCAUACUGAGGACAUUUCUCCAGCAGG
Long non-coding RNA from Dromaius novaehollandiae (emu), 3346 nucleotides. RefSeq lists it as uncharacterized. The record is from RefSeq and is a predicted model, not a curated record. Lineage: Eukaryota; Metazoa; Chordata; Aves; Casuariiformes; Dromaiidae. The transcript is spliced from 3 exons.